RNAcentral lists this ribosomal RNA (518 nucleotides) under uncultured Ferribacterium sp. RNAcentral describes it as "bacterial SSU rRNA". It matches the Rfam family "Bacterial small subunit ribosomal RNA", at positions 1 to 525 of the family's 1533-position model. Lineage: Bacteria; Pseudomonadati; Pseudomonadota; Betaproteobacteria; Rhodocyclales; Azonexaceae. The record is from RNAcentral.
UAGAGUUUGAUUCUGGCUCAGAUUGAACGCUGGCGGCAUGCCUUACACAUGCAAGUCGAACGGAAACGCGGGGCAACCUGGCGACGAGUGGCGAACGGGUGAGUAAUAUAUCGGAACGUGCCCAGUCGUGGGGGAUAACGCAGCGAAAGCUGUGCUAAUACCGCAUACGAUCUAUGGAUGAAAGCGGGGGAUCGCAAGACCUCGCGCUGAUUGAGCGGCCGAUAUCAGAUUAGCUAGUUGGUGAGGUAAAGGCUCACCAAGGCGACGAUCUGUAGCGGGUUGAGAGGAUGAUCCGCCACACGGAAUGAGACACGGUCCAGACUCCUACGGGAGGCAGCAGUGGGGAAUUUUGGACAAUGGGCGCAAGCCUGAUCCAGCCAUGCCGCGUGAGUGAAGAAGGCCUUCGGGUUGUAAAGCUCUUUCAGCCGGGAAGAAAACGCAUGGGUUAAUACCCUGUGUGGAUGACGGUACCGGAAUAAGAAGCACCGGCUAACUACGUGCCAGCCGCCGCGGAAUUC